AGAGUUUGAUCCUGGCUCAGAUUGAACGCUGGCGGCAGGCCUAACACAUGCAAGUCGAACGGUAACAGGAAGCAGCUUGCUGCUUCGCUGACGAGUGGCGGACGGGUGAGUAAUGUCUGGGAAACUGCCUGAUGGAGGGGGAUAACUACUGGAAACGGUAGCUAAUACCGCAUAACGUCGCAAGACCAAAGAGGGGGACCUUAGGGCCUCUUGCCAUCGGAUGUGCCCAGAUGGGAUUAGCUAGUAGGUGGGGUAACGGCUCACCUAGGCGACGAUCCCUAGCUGGUCUGAGAGGAUGACCAGCCACACUGGAACUGAGACACGGUCCAGACUCCUACGGGAGGCAGCAGUGGGGAAUAUUGCACAAUGGGCGCAAGCCUGAUGCAGCCAUGCCGCGUGUAUGAAGAAGGCCUUCGGGUUGUAAUGUUCUUUCAGCGGGGAGGAAGGGAGUAAAGUUAA
Molecule: ribosomal RNA, 459 nt
Filed under: uncultured bacterium
Lineage: Bacteria
Description: bacterial SSU rRNA
Rfam family: Bacterial small subunit ribosomal RNA
Source: RNAcentral